UCCUAGCCCUGAUUGCAGUGGAAAUCCUUUUUUUUGUCCUUUUUUGGACAUAAAAAAAGAUUGAAACGUAAAGCAGGAUAAAGC
This 84-nucleotide small RNA is filed under the name Flavobacterium micromati. Its description in RNAcentral is "Flavo-1 RNA". It matches the Rfam family "Flavo-1 RNA". The record is from Rfam by way of RNAcentral. Lineage: Bacteria; Pseudomonadati; Bacteroidota; Flavobacteriia; Flavobacteriales; Flavobacteriaceae.